GUUAGAUUUAAAUUAUUCUCCUAAUUGGAAUGGCAGACUUAGUUCAGUGUAACAAUUGCUAUGCAUUUGUUUCACGUUCCACUUUUUGGAGGUUUGGUUGUUGUCUAAUCUGUAGACAGUUCUCUAUCUUGCGGCAGGAGAUUGUAUUUUUGAAGUCUGAGAUUUGUAAAUUAUCUGGUGAACAAACUCAGACUGGAACUGCUGCAAAGCCACUGCCGCAGAGACAAACUAGGAAAGGCAGAUGGAUUACUGUAGGAUCUGGUAGACUUAGAGUUGUGGAUAAAAGGCAUUUUGCACAGUCUGUU
Pelobates cultripes (western spadefoot toad) is the source of this 305-nucleotide non-coding RNA. NCBI's taxonomy places the organism in Eukaryota, Metazoa, Chordata, Amphibia, Anura, Pelobatidae. The record is from the annotation of a GenBank genome assembly.